RNAcentral lists this ribosomal RNA (745 nucleotides) under uncultured archaeon. Its description in RNAcentral is "bacterial SSU rRNA". It matches the Rfam family "Archaeal small subunit ribosomal RNA", at positions 155 to 901 of the family's 1478-position model. The record is from RNAcentral.
GAUAGAUCUCGACUGCUGGAAUGCAUCGAGAUCUAAAGCUCCGGCGCCUAAGGAUGGGUCUGCGGCCUAUCAGGUAGUAGUGGGUGUAGCGUACCUACUAGCCUACGACGGGUACGGGUUGUGAGAGCAAGAGCCCGGAGAUGGAUUCUGAGACACGAAUCCAGGCCCUACGGGGUGCAGCAGGCGCGAAAACUUUACAAUGCUGGAAACAGCGAUAAGGGGACCUCGAGUGCCAGGUUACAAAUCUGGCUGUCGUGAUGCCUAAAAAGCAUUGCAUAGCAAGGGCCGGGCAAGACCGGUGCCAGCCGCCGCGGUAACACCGGCGGCUCGAGUGGUAACCGUUAUUAUUGGGUCUAAAGGGUCUGUAGCCGGCCGGAUAAGUCUCUUGGGAAAUCCAGCAGCUCAACUGUUGGGCUUUCAGGAGAUACUGUCUGGCUCGAGGCCGGGAGAGGUGAGAGGUACUUCAGGGGUAGGGGUGAAAUCUUGUAAUCCUUGAAGGACCACCAGUGGCGAAGGCGUCUCACCAGAACGGACCUGACGGCAAGGGACGAAAGCUAGGGGCACGAACCGGAUUAGAUACCCGGGUAGUCCUAGCCGUAAACGAUACUCGCUAGGUGUCGGCCACGGUGCGACCGUUGUCGGUGCCGUAGGGAAGCCGUGAAGCGAGCCACCUGGGAAGUACGGCCGCAAGGCUGAAACUUAAAGGAAUUGGCGGGGGAGCACCACAACGGGUGGAGCUUGCGGU